Molecule: transfer-messenger RNA, 412 nt
Filed under: Patescibacteria group
Lineage: Bacteria
Also listed under: 1 other name
Description: JAGQNX01 sp020427865 Standard tmRNA
Rfam family: transfer-messenger RNA
About the family: Bacterial tmRNA, also known as 10Sa RNA or SsrA, is named for its dual tRNA and mRNA-like properties. Its role is to liberate the mRNA from a stalled ribosome.
Source: RNAcentral
GGGGAUGCCAAGGAUUUGACUGUAAGUGUAUUCUAUAUAUGGCAAGCCGAAACCGCUAUAUGUUCGUAAAAAUGUAGCACCCAUAACUGCAGAUGAUGUAGCUUAUGUAUACGAAGACGCUGAUGUAUUUGCACCUGCAUUUGCUUAAGCUUUUCGUUAUGACUUACCUAUAAGUGUGAGUCAGGUUGUGCAGGUUCUGUCUGGAGGACUUGUUUCAAUCUUAUAAAACCAGAAUGAGGUGAUCUGUGAUUGGUCGCCCCAGUUUGCCAAGCACUAGAGUGUAAACUUAGACCUAGGAAGGGUUUAGAGGUUAGCUAAUUUCCUCUCCUUCUAAAUUCAAAGAUUAGAUAAGCUUGUACACCGUUAUGGUUUAGCUUACAACACAGGGGUUCGACUCCCCUCAUCUCCACCU